Molecule: long non-coding RNA, 1020 nt
Filed under: Anas platyrhynchos platyrhynchos (common mallard)
Lineage: Eukaryota; Metazoa; Chordata; Aves; Anseriformes; Anatidae
Description: lncRNA (ENSAPLG00000028269.1)
Source: RNAcentral
ACCCCCUGCGUGUCCCUUGGGUGCCAUUGGGGUGUUGGUGGCCAUCUGCGGGUCCCUUGGGUGCUCUCAUGGGGUGCCAGCGACCCCCACCCACCCCUGGGGUCCCACAGGGUGCUGGUGGCCCUGGCGGGUCCCUAGGGUGGCAUCGGUCACCCCGGGGCGGUGGUGGGUGGCGGGGGGGACCCCAGUAGGUCCCUUGGGUGCCCCAGGUCACCCUGAAGUCCCCAGGGGGAUGGGGGGACCCCGGCAGGUCCCUUGGGUGCCCCAGGUCCCUUGGGUGCCCCGGGUCACCCUGCAGCCCCCAGGGUGAUAGUGGGUGAUGGGGGGGACCCCAGUAGGUCCCUUGGGGUGCCCUGGGUCACCCUGCAGUCCCCAGAGUGAUGGGGGGACCCCAGCAGGUCCCUUGGGUGCCCCAGGUCACCCUGCAGUCCCCAGGGUGAUAGUGGGUGGGUGGGGGACCCCAGAAGGUCCCUUGGGUGCCACAGGUCCCUUGGGUGCCCCGGGUCCCCCCCCAGUCCCCAAAGACCCCCCCUGAAUCACCUCCAGCUUCCCACCACCCCAACUAACUUGGCCCUCCCCCCCCCCCAUCCCCCUUAUCCCCCUUUUUUAUUUUUUUCCUUUUCUUUUUUUUCCCUUUUUUCCCUUUUUUUCCCCCCAAAACCAGCGCGGCCCCCCCGCGGGUGCCGGUGGCGUCGCCGUCGGCUCACAACAUCAGCCAGGGGCUGUGCGAGAGACCCAGUUUUCCCCGGGGGGUGUCGAGCCGCAGCACCUUCCACGCCGGGCAGCUCAGGCAGGCUCGGGACCAAGCCCCCCUGCCCUACGCCGUGCCCCCCCCUCCAGCCUCCCCCUCGGGCGCCAGCCAGGGGCGCCGCGGCCCCUCCGCCAGCCUCUUCAGCAAGUUCACCUCCAAGUUCGUCCGCAGGUGAGGCCCCCCCCCAAAAAAAAAAAGUCUCUUUAUUAUUUUUAUUUUUUUUUUAUUUUUUUAUUUUUUUCCCCCUCCCCAGCCCCAAAAUUGGGGUG